This 348-nucleotide unclassified non-coding RNA is filed under the name soil metagenome. RNAcentral's name for it is "partial contains 5.8S ribosomal RNA, internal transcribed spacer 2, and large subunit ribosomal RNA". The stretch from base 1 to 120 matches the Rfam family "5.8S ribosomal RNA", at positions 35 to 154 of the family's 154-position model. The record is from RNAcentral.
GAUGAAGAACGUAGCGAAAUGCGAUAAGUAAUGUGAAUUGCAGAAUUCAGUGAAUCAUCGAAUCUUUGAACGCACAUUGCGCCCGCCAGUAUUCUGGCGAGCAUGCCUGUCUGAGCGUCAUUUCAACCCUCAUGCCCCUAGGGCGUGGUGUUGGGGAUCGGCCAAAGCCCGCGAGGGACGGCCGGCCCCUAAAUCUAGUGACGGACCCGUCGUGGCCUCCUCUGCGAAGUAGUGAUAUUCCGCAUCGGAGAGCGAUGAGCCCCUGCCGUUAAACCCCCAACUUUCCAAGGUUGACCUCAGAUCAGGUAGGAAUACCCGCUGAACUUAAGCAUAUCAAUAAGCGGAGGA